RNAcentral lists this ribosomal RNA (478 nucleotides) under uncultured bacterium. RNAcentral describes it as "partial 16S ribosomal RNA". It matches the Rfam family "Bacterial small subunit ribosomal RNA", at positions 28 to 507 of the family's 1533-position model. The record is from RNAcentral.
GAUGAACGCUAGCGGCAGGCCUAACACAUGCAAGUCGAGGGAGAAGCCCUUUCGGGGGCCGAAACCGGCGCACGGGUGCGUAACGCGUAUGCAACCUACCUUUCACAGGGGGAUAGCCCGAAGAAAUUUGGAUUAAUACCCCAUAAUAUUAUUGGAUGGCAUCAUUUGAUAAUUAAAACUGCGGUGGUGAAAGAUGGGCAUGCGUCCUAUUAGCUAGUUGGAGUGGUAACGGCACCCCAAGGCUACGAUAGGUAGGGGUCCUGAGAGGGAGAUCCCCCACACUGGUACUGAGACAGGGACCAGAAUCCUACGGGAGGCAGCAGUGAGGAAUAUUGGUCAAUGGUCGGAAGACUGAACCAGCCAUGCCGCGUGCAGGAAGAAUGCCUUAUGGGUUGUAAACUGCUUUUAUAUGGGAAGAAUAAGGCGUACGUGUACGUUGAUGACGGUACCAUAUGAAUAAGCAUCGGCUAACUCCGUG